This 76-nucleotide transfer RNA is filed under the name Plesiomonas shigelloides. RNAcentral's name for it is "tRNA-Asn". It matches the Rfam family "tRNA". From Rfam's summary of the family: Transfer RNA (tRNA) molecules are approximately 80 nucleotides in length. Their secondary structure includes four short double-helical elements and three loops (D, anti-codon, and T loops). Further hydrogen bonds mediate the characteristic L-shaped molecular structure. tRNAs have two regions of fundamental functional importance: the anti-codon, which is responsible for specific mRNA codon recognition, and the 3' end, to which the tRNAs corresponding amino acid is attached (by aminoacyl-tRNA synthetases). tRNAs cope with the degeneracy of the genetic code in two manners: having more than one tRNA (with a specific anti-codon) for a particular amino acid; and 'wobble' base-pairing, i.e. permitting non-standard base-pairing at the 3rd anti-codon position. RNAcentral also lists the same sequence under 8 other names. Lineage: Bacteria; Pseudomonadati; Pseudomonadota; Gammaproteobacteria; Enterobacterales; Enterobacteriaceae. The record is from RNAcentral.
GCUUCUUUAGCUCAGUUGGUAGAGCGCACGACUGUUAAUCGUGUUGUCGCUGGUUCGAGCCCAGCAAGAAGCGCCA